CGGGUAUCCAUCAGGAUCGAUCUCAAACUGAUUUCUCUUUGUAGAAGACUCUUCUUCCUAAGAAGAAUCUUAGCCUUGAGCACUUUGAUCAACACCUUGAUGUGGACUGUGGGAUCAACUCCUUGAUCAGCAAUCUUUUUCUUCUUCUCCUCAAUCUUCACUCUUGAAGAUAAAGCAGCACCUCUUGGCAUAUGGAAAAAAAGAGACACCCAACUCUUAGGCAUGGAAGAGAAGAGAGGGAGGAGAGGAGGCAUAGAG
RNAcentral lists this long non-coding RNA (258 nucleotides) under Elaeis guineensis (African oil palm). RNAcentral describes it as "long non-coding RNA (EGUI_LNC066067)". Lineage: Eukaryota; Viridiplantae; Streptophyta; Magnoliopsida; Arecales; Arecaceae. The record is from RNAcentral.